CCUACGGGUGGCAGCAGUGAGGAAUAUUGGUCAAUGGGCGCUAGCCUGAACCAGCCAAGCAGCGUGCAGGAUGACUGCCCUAUGGGUUGUAAACUUCUUUUAUAUGGGAAUAAAGUGCAGUAUGCAUACUGCUCUGCAUGUACCUUAUGAAUAAGGAUCGGCUAACUCCGUGCCAGCAGCCGCGGUAAUACGGAGGAUCCGAGCGUUAUCCGGAUUUAUUGGGUUUAAAGGGGGCGUAGGCGGGUUGUUAAGUUAGUGGUGAAAGUUUGAGGCUCAACUGUGAAAUUGCAGUUGAUACUGGCAGCCUUGAGAGCAGUAGAGGUAGGCGGAAUGCGUGGUGUAGCGGUGAAAUGCUUAGAGAUCACGAAGAACUCCGAUUGCGAAGGCAGCCUGCUAGACUGUAACUGACGCUGAUGCUCGAAAGUGUGGGUAUCAAACAGGAUUAGAUACCCUGGUAGUC
This 460-nucleotide ribosomal RNA is filed under the name uncultured bacterium. RNAcentral describes it as "partial 16S ribosomal RNA". It matches the Rfam family "Bacterial small subunit ribosomal RNA", at positions 338 to 795 of the family's 1533-position model. The record is from RNAcentral.